This 107-nucleotide small nucleolar RNA is filed under the name Sorghum bicolor (sorghum). RNAcentral describes it as "Plant small nucleolar RNA R71". It matches the Rfam family "Plant small nucleolar RNA R71". From Rfam's summary of the family: R71 is a member of the C/D box family of snoRNAs containing the C (UGAUGA) and D (CUGA) box motifs. Multiple nearly identical copies of this snoRNA have been identified in Arabidopsis, and it is thought to function as a 2'-O-ribose methylation guide for 18S ribosomal RNA. Lineage: Eukaryota; Viridiplantae; Streptophyta; Magnoliopsida; Poales; Poaceae. The record is from Rfam by way of RNAcentral.
AUCCCAUCGUGAGGGCAUUCUGAUAUGUAAUCUUGAAAGCGUUCUCAUGCCUCAGGGACAGAUUCAUCGUAUUGUUGCUAAAAAGUUGAAAUCUUUGCAUAUAGGGC